GGUACAUUUUCAUCCUGCAGAACGAGAGAGAAAGAGCUGAGUCACAUCUCCUUUUUCUUUUUUUUAUUUCCUUCUUGCCUCUCUCCCUCCUGAAAGCGAUUCAAGAAAAUGAAAACAGGAAGCAACUCAUUAAACAAGAGCGAAAGAGGAGCCUCUCGUGGACUUCCGCCUGUACAGAGAGGACUCAGAGAAGGUCUUGACUAAUGGGCUCUUCUCAUCCGCAGACAUCUCGUUUUCAACCUCCUCCCCCUCCUCGACUCCCUGAAAGGUCUGCGGUGGGGAGAAAGGGAAGGAGGAAACCACAAACACAAACAAUGUCAGUGACAGACCAUUUUGAAAGUACAGAAAUUCCCCAUUGACUUUUGGACCAGCCUAAUUACGUGUCAAGCUGUGUGUGCGUGUUACCUGCAUGGUGACCAGCGUAUGGUAGACUCCCUGUUUUUCCAUCAGCUGGCUGUGAGUUCCCAGCUCCACGACUUGACCUUUCUGGAAACCGGCGAUGACAUCAGCGUUUCUGAUGGUGGAGAGGCGGUGAGCCACAACUAUGGUGGUGCGACCCAGUCGGACCUGCACACAAAGAUAUGUGUAUUGCACAAUGGUCUCACUCUCAGCAUCAAGAGCAGAUGUGGCUUCGUCCAGCAGAAGGAUUUUGGGAUUGCGGACCAGAGCUCGAGCGAUGGCAAUCCUCUGCUUUUGUCCCCCACUC
Molecule: long non-coding RNA, 706 nt
Organism: Toxotes jaculatrix (banded archerfish)
Lineage: Eukaryota; Metazoa; Chordata; Actinopteri; Toxotidae
Exons: 3
Source: RefSeq, a predicted model, not a curated record